GAUCCUGGCUCAGGAUGAACGCUAGCUACAGGCUUAACACAUGCAAGUCGAGGGGCAUCAUGAGGUAGCAAUACCUUGAUGGCGACCGGCGCACGGGUGAGUAACGCGUAUGCAACCUGCCCGAUACCGGGGUAUAGCCCAUGGAAACGUGGAUUAACACCCCAUAGUACUUUUAUCCUGCCUGGGAUGGGAGUUAAAUGUUCAAGGUAUCGAAUGGGCAUGCGUCCUAUUAGUUAGUUGGG
RNAcentral lists this ribosomal RNA (242 nucleotides) under uncultured bacterium. RNAcentral describes it as "partial 16S ribosomal RNA". It matches the Rfam family "Bacterial small subunit ribosomal RNA", at positions 15 to 253 of the family's 1533-position model. The record is from RNAcentral.